GAUGAACGCUGGCGGCGUGCCUAAUACAUGCAAGUCGAGCGAACAGACGAUGAGCUUGCUCCUCUGACGUUAGCGGCGGACGGGUGAGUAACACGUGGAUAACCUACCUAUAAGACUGGGAUAACUUCGGGAAACCGGAGCUAAUACCGGAUAAUAUAUUGAACCGCAUGGUUCAAUAGUGAAAGACGGUUUUGCUGUCACUUAUAGAUGGAUCCGCGCCGCAUUAGCUAGUUGGUAAGGUAACGGCUUACCAAGGCAACGAUGCGUAGCCGACCUGAGAGGGUGAUCGGCCACACUGGAGCUGAGACACGGUCCAGACUCCUACGGGAGGCAGCAGUAGGGAAUCUUCCGCAAUGGGCGAAAGCCUGACGGAGCAACGCCGCGUGAGUGAUGAAGGUCUUCGGAUCGUAAAACUCUGUUAUUAGGGAAGAACAAAUGUGUAAGUAACUAUGCACGUCUUGACGGUACCUAAUCAGAAAGCAACGGCUAACUACGUG
RNAcentral lists this ribosomal RNA (497 nucleotides) under uncultured bacterium. RNAcentral's name for it is "partial 16S ribosomal RNA". It matches the Rfam family "Bacterial small subunit ribosomal RNA", at positions 28 to 507 of the family's 1533-position model. The record is from RNAcentral.